GUGCUCACUUUGCCAGCACAUAUACUAACAUUGGAACAACACAGAGAACAUGAGCGUGGCCCCUGCACAAGGGAGACUCGCAAAUUUGUGAAGCGUUCUGUAGUUUU
RNAcentral lists this small nuclear RNA (107 nucleotides) under Dasypus novemcinctus (nine-banded armadillo). The record is from RNAcentral. Lineage: Eukaryota; Metazoa; Chordata; Mammalia; Cingulata; Dasypodidae.